CAAUACUUUGGUGGCGACCGGCGCACGGGUGCGUAACGCGUAUGUAACCUACCUAUAACAGGGGCAUAACACUGAGAAAUUGGUACUAAUUCCCCAUAAUAUUCGGAGAGGCAUCUCUCCGGGUUGAAAACUCCGGUGGUUAUAGAUGGACAUGCGUUGUAUUAGCUAGUUGGUGAGGUAACGGCUCACCAAGGCAACGAUACAUAGGGGGACUGAGAGGUUAACCCCCCACACUGGUACUGAGACACGGACCAGACUCCUACGGGAGGCAGCAGUGAGGAAUAUUGGUCAAUGGACGCAAGUCUGAACCAGCCAUGCCGCGUGCAGGAAGACGGCUCUAUGAGUUGUAAACUGCUUUUGUACGAGGGUAAACUCACCUACGUGUAGGUGACUGAAAGUAUCGUACGAAUAAGGAUCGGCUAACUCCGUGCCAGCAGCCGCGGUAAUACGGAGGAUUCAAGCGUUAUCCGGAUUUAUUGGGUUUAAAGGGUGCGUAGGCGGUUUGAUAAGUUAGAGGUGAAAUCCCGGGGCUUAACUCCGGAACUGCCUCUAAUACUGUUAGACUAGGGAGUAGUUGCGGUAGGCGGAAUGUAUGGUGUAGCGGUGAAAUGCUUAGAGAUCAUACAGAACACCGAUUGCGAAGGCAGCUUACCAAACUAUAUCUGACGUUGAGGCACGAAAGCGUGGGGAGCAAACAG
This 698-nucleotide ribosomal RNA is filed under the name uncultured Bacteroidales bacterium. RNAcentral describes it as "bacterial SSU rRNA". It matches the Rfam family "Bacterial small subunit ribosomal RNA", at positions 76 to 775 of the family's 1533-position model. Lineage: Bacteria; Pseudomonadati; Bacteroidota; Bacteroidia; Bacteroidales. The record is from RNAcentral.